Lolium perenne is the source of this 656-nucleotide long non-coding RNA. RefSeq lists it as uncharacterized. The record is from RefSeq and is a predicted model, not a curated record. NCBI's taxonomy places the organism in Eukaryota, Viridiplantae, Streptophyta, Magnoliopsida, Poales, Poaceae.
CCUAGCUGGUUUCCUCUCCUUUUCUUCUUCCUCCAUUGCUAAGAUUGGAUCUUGAUGCAGGUGCAUGUUGGUCCAAGCAUGGAGGAGGUUGAGCAAUCCUCAGAUCUGAAGUUCUUGAGCAAAAUCCAAAUCGAGUGAUUCAAAGUUCCACAGAUAGGUAUUGAAAAUAUCUACAACUUGGCGUUGGUCUCAUCCUCAAAUUCGUUACGGAUUUUGCAUGAUCAAUAUCUGGUCAGAUCUGACUUUGUCGAAUUAAACCAGGAGCUUGGAAACGAAUUUUUGAAUGAAACCAACUGGAUGCGAACAAUUCCGGAGAAGAAGAAGAAGUGGAAUCGGACGAGGAUUUUAUUUAUAUUGUUGGAAUUCUUAUUUGAUGGAGUUGGAGAAGUCCAGGGACAAACAAGCCAACCAAGGCAAGCCAUCUUUUGAUCUCUUGCUAUUUAUCCUUCUUGUUGUGCUCAUUGCUCCAUUAUAUACUUGGUUCCUUGUAUCAUGGGUGAUUUUUGGUCCUCUACUCUAUGCAUACUUAUUCCCAAAGUAUGUUGAACCCCUUGUUGAUGCUUUGCAUACUUGCUCCCAAGUAUGUGAACCCCCUUGUUGAUGUUAUGCAUGCUUACCCUAAGCAUGUAUGCCCCUUGACCAUAUCCAUGUUGUCA